CAGCACCUCAAGUGGUCAGGAUGAUUAUCGGGCCUAAAGCAUCCGUAGCCUGCUUUGUUAGUUUUCGGUUAAAUCCAUACGCUCAACGUAUGGGCUGCCGGGAAUACUGCAAAGCUAGGGAGUGGGAGAGGUAGACGGUACUCGGUAGGAAGGGGUAAAAUCCUUUGAUCUAUUGAUGACCACCUGUGGCGAAGGCGGUCUACCAGAACACGUCCGACGGUGAGGGAUGAAAGCUGGGGGAGCAAACCGGAUUAGAUACCCGAGUAGUCC
Molecule: ribosomal RNA, 270 nt
Filed under: uncultured archaeon
Lineage: Archaea
Description: partial 16S ribosomal RNA
Rfam family: Archaeal small subunit ribosomal RNA
Source: RNAcentral